GACUGGGUCCCACGCGGGCGGUCCCCGUGAACCCCGUCAGGCCCGGGAGGGAGCAGCGGUAAGCGGAUCGGCCGUGGCGCCGUGGGUCGGCCUAGUCGGU
Molecule: signal recognition particle RNA, 100 nt
Filed under: Bacillota bacterium
Lineage: Bacteria; Bacillati; Bacillota
Also listed under: 1 other name
Description: signal recognition particle sRNA small type
Rfam family: Bacterial small signal recognition particle RNA
About the family: The signal recognition particle (SRP) is a universally conserved ribonucleoprotein involved in the co-translational targeting of proteins to membranes. Archaeal SRP consists of a 7S RNA and homologues of the eukaryotic SRP19 and SRP54 proteins.
Source: RNAcentral